RNAcentral lists this long non-coding RNA (281 nucleotides) under Mytilus galloprovincialis (Mediterranean mussel). The record is from RNAcentral. Lineage: Eukaryota; Metazoa; Mollusca; Bivalvia; Mytilida; Mytilidae.
AAAAAACUUAUCUUUUGAUUGAUUCAUCAUUUCAAAUGUACUUAAAUUGUACCGUCUAAAUGGAUGAUGAACACACUUACAAUGAUGGGCGUGAUUUACACAUAGAUAUGAAUGAUGUUAAAUGAUUGUCAAACGCCUACAAAUAUUUUUAAAGGAAAUAGAAACGAAGUGAAUCAGUUCAAUAAUGCAUAACUAUAUUUAAAGAUAUUUAAGUAGCGGAAUGAAUAUCAAAUUAACGAGUUUCCCAGGGUCUAGAUGGGGAUUCUUCAUUUCUAUAUUCU